RNAcentral lists this ribosomal RNA (495 nucleotides) under uncultured bacterium. RNAcentral's name for it is "partial 16S ribosomal RNA". It matches the Rfam family "Bacterial small subunit ribosomal RNA", at positions 28 to 507 of the family's 1533-position model. The record is from RNAcentral.
GACGAACGCUGGCGGCGUGCCUAAUACAUGCAAGUAGAACGCUGAAGGAGGAGCUUGCUUCUCUGGAUGAGUUGCGAACGGGUGAGUAACGCGUAGGUAACCUGCCUGGUAGCGGGGGAUAACUAUUGGAAACGAUAGCUAAUACCGCAUAAUAUUGACUAUUGCAUGAUAGUCAGUUGAAAGGUGCAACUGCACCACUACCAGAUGGACCUGCGUUGUAUUAGCUAGUUGGUGGGGUAACGGCUCACCAAGGCGACGAUACAUAGCCGACCUGAGAGGGUGAUCGGCCACACUGGGACUGAGACACGGCCCAGACUCCUACGGGAGGCAGCAGUAGGGAAUCUUCGGCAAUGGACGGAAGUCUGACCGAGCAACGCCGCGUGAGUGAAGAAGGUUGUCGGAUCGUAAAGCUCUGUUGUAAGAGAAGAACGAGUGUGAGAGUGGAAAGCUCACACUGUGACGGUAUCUUACCAGAAAGGGACGGCUAACUACGUG